UAUGUUUUUCUAGCAUAGUUUACAUUCGCGCGAGAUUGUCGCUGGUGUUCAUUCUUUCGAGUCUUCUUAGUAAUUGAAAUUUGCAAAUUGUUAAUCGUACAGCACGCGUUAAAUUAUACCUCUGUCAGGUAUAAAAAGCGUGGAGUAGCUUUCUUGUAAGUAUCUUAAUAGAAAAAUUGAAUCGUAAUCGUUGGGGAGUAGUUAGUCUGGUCUUUAAAGAAUGAUCGAUCGACGCAGGGAAAAUAUUGUAAUACCGUUCCACGUGAACGUACUUUAAAUUCGCGUAUGAAUGAAGCCAUUCGCGUGCAGUGAUGAUUCAGACGAGAACCAAUGUAUAUAAGCCAUGUUCCACCCCGUCUCGUCACACCCUCUUCGUAAUUCUUUCUUUUCCCUCGGCUUUCGUUUUUUAUUCUCCUUCUACCUCAAAUCUUCUUCAACAUUUCGCUCGUUACCGAUGCGAUCGAAGAAAAAGAAAGAAUAGAACGGGUUGCGACAAAAUUUCUUGUAUUAUCGGUAGAGUACCGUGCUGGAUACGACUGUUCCUAAUGUAGCGAUCAACGUGUUAAUCCAAGCGGAUAAAAAAUCCGUCCGCAACGCCUACGAACGCCAUGAAAGCACGUAGAAAUUGCAUCCGUUAGAACAGGGUGUUGGCUGCUCUCUUAACACUAUGGAGGCACUAUCGUGCACGUAUAAUUGGCUGGUGCAAGUGUUAAGAAUGCAAAUCGCCCGAUACCGGGGACCAUUCAAUCGCGAACAUACGCACAAGCAUGCAGCUCCCCCCCACUAGACACUACUAUUUACAUAUUUACGUAACUCUAUCUUCGCGUGCAUCUACACUGUAUCUAUUAUUAAUUUUUUUUUUUUAAUUUUAUUUUAGAUCGCUCGUAACUACUUGCGUCAGCUUUUCGCUUAACGAGCAAAGGGAACGGUGCGCUCAGAUUUAUUUUAUUCGAGAUUUCGAUGUUAAUGAUGGAAGGAGAAUACACAACACGUUUCUCAGACUCUAACAAACCGAGACACGGAUAUUGCCGCAAUACGUUGCAUAGUUUUCAAACCUGCGCCACGUUAUUGAACUGUGUGGAUGGACGUGAGCCUUGGAUGCUUUGUGCACGUGCAAUAUUUAUGGAACGCAGGUUCACAGUACUUUGUAACACUUUUCUUCCACUCGUUACUUUAAAUAGAAAUUCGAAAGAGGAUUAUUCAGAUAUUCUAUUAUUUCCUUUCUAAUUAAACGACGUUUAUUGUCGGUGAAAUUCAAUUGCAGAUGGAAUUGCAUAUCAUAUUACCUAGAAAGUCUAACAGGAUUUGAUGACAUAAAAGUGGCGCAAAAUAGUACUUGUGGCACAUCAAUUUCCGGCUUAAAGUCUGCUAAGAAUGUCUGCUACACAAACAUUUUAUUUAACUUAAAUAAUGAAAGUAGCUUAGAACACUGCCAGUCUAACUUUGAAAAAUCUUUCUUUUCUAGAUUUCCUUCUUAUUCGACGUAAGGAUAAUACUGCUGUAUCAUUGUAUUUUGUGACUGAUAACGAACAGUCAUUCUUUGACUCGUGUUCUCCCACCUUUGAAACAGACGGACCUGGUAUUAACGUAUCAUUCAAAUCAUUGAAAAUAAAAGUGGCUGCAAUAACAAGUUACGGAACAGGACUUCUUUAUCUUAAAGCAUAAGAUUACUCGUUAAGCCGCACGUAAUAAAGUGACGGUCACUCGUUAUUAUGCAGGCAUUGCGCAUUACAUGCUUCCAGCUCAUACUAUUAAAAUAGUAAUGAGAAGAUCUAGGCAGAGAGAUUCCUUGCUUGUGCUAAAUACCUUGGUCAUCAAAGAAUACAAGUUCUUCGAAGAAUAAUUGUCUCUCAUCUCAGUUUCUUAUCCGUGUAAGAAACUUCAAGAUUCCAUUGAUUACAUUGAUUAUUAUUAAUUGUUCCACCAGGCAUGGUCGGACGAGACGUUUAUGUUGUUGCCGAGAAGGCUUUCGGAAACUUGCCCGUUUGCUGGCAGAGACAAAGUUCCUUUGUACGAAUCUCCUCUUCUCCGACUAAAAAUAAUCGUGGACUUGUUCGCGACUUGUUGAUUCGAAGGGCUUUCCAGCCUGAUUAAAAGUGGUGCCGCUAGAUUUAUGAGUGGAAUCUGCGAUCAAAAUCUCCCCUCGUAUCCGAGGCUCGCUCGUUUUACCGUAAAUAUAGUGUAAAAUAUAGGUACUAUUUGCAGAGAGAGAGAGCGAGGAACUCGAGAAGUACUCUGAAAUGGAUUUUUUAGAAACUUGAAAAAGACUCAGUCUCGUCACAGAUUCAUCUGAAAGUGUAUCUUUCUUAACAGAUAUAUAAUUAGAAUUAACCCCACUUGGACUUGAAUGUCACAAGAAAAAGGAUGUUAAAUAUAAAUAAUGAGUUCAUAGGAAAUGAACGUACAAACUAAUGUAACAGGAAGCGUGUCGAAAAAUAGGACGUUCAACUAGGUAACCGCUCAAUUAUGAGUUGGUACGGUCGUGUCUAAUUAUUUUGCACGGUUCAGCGAGAGAAAAUUAAACUAAACGACUGUACUGUUCCACGAGAAUCUUUCGACAACAUCGCUAACUGGAUAAUCGCGUAAUUGUCAGUCAGUAAGAGUUUUCCACGUCGACCAAUUGCUCCCGGUGUGCUCGUUAAAAUUGCCGCAUACGGUUCUUCAAGCUUUUUCCCUUCUUUUCAAUCAUCGUAUAUUCCAACUGUAAUUAUAACGAGCUGUCAGACGUUACACAGUCGUUGUUUAAAACACGAAACAAGGGGUGAAAAAACAUUGUACUUUCAUGGAAUUAGAUUAUGAGCUUGAAUGCCAUUACUCUCUCUCUCUCUCUUGACUUAAUUCGAUUUUCCCUUGUAAUUUGCAGAAACGAGACUUGUAUUGUUUACAAUUGAGCGUCGAAAGCGUCUUGCCGACUUGUUUGAAGUGCUGUUUCUUCUCCAAGUGAAACAUUUCGACGUCAUUUGCAGGUUUCCCUGAAACUACUUCAGUGCAGGUAUAAAAACACUGAGAAUAUUUCAAAAUUUCAAUGCACAGAGACACUCGAGAAACGAAACGUUUGACGCAGAGAAAGGAUUAAAUUAGUCUCGAGACUGUGAAUAAAAAAAUGCAAGCCAACGGAAAUGAAAAAUCAGAAGGAAACGAUUGUUCGAGGUCGACACGUGUAUUGAUUGAUUCCAUGACGCAGUUACGAUGUCAUCUAAACACCUUGGCUGGAUUGUUGAUUAGUUUCACGCGAUAUCGAUUUGCGUACGUAAGAUGGGAUUUAAACUCGCGUGCUGACAUGCAGUUUGCGCUUACGGUGCAACGGACUGUGAGAGUUAUGCAGCUGCAGUUCGUUAGAAGUGCAUGACCUCCGGCGUUGCGCGAAUUGAGAUAUUGAAAUUUACGUUUUCGCCAGGGAAGAACGCCAAUUUCUAUCGUAAAUUGGACACUCGGACCAUUAAGUUGAAAUCCUUGUGAAAGAAAUAAACACGCAACAUAGUUUAAUGAGAUAGCAACACUAAUAAUGACUAUACAAAAAAGGAGAUUGUACAGCCAUUAACUGCAGACUGUUCGUAAGAAAACGGAUGAAAAAUUACUUUAUGAUUUUUAGAUGUACCAGUGAUUGGAAAUUGGAUCGUUUAUUAUUCAAUAAAACACGUUUCCAAAUAACGUGUAUAAAUAGUAUCACACGAGAAUAAAUAUUUAACGUUGUGUUAAUUGCCGGUUAUACCAGGAUCAUAUUAUAAUAAAUUGUUAUGCAAUACUUGCGAGAGAUGUAAAUCGUGUCACUGAUAAUUAUCGCCCGCGAAAUUGUCCAGGUGUCAAAUGCCAGUGUAAAUAAUUGAUAUAUUUACUAACGAGGUCGUAACGAAUAGUACGAUUAAGAACUCGAGGCAAGCUGGAAUUUGAUGAUAAUUUGUUCGAGCAACAAGUAGCUGAAGGAAUGAAAUCUCUGCUAGAUUUGUGUUUACCAGAUUAACACUUUGACGACCAUGCAUUUCAUUAGAUCUAUUUUCUGUAAUGUACUUUGCAAAGUUACCACUUUUCAAGUGAUAACGUGCAGUACAGUGGAUACAAAGGUAUAGAAUGAAAUGAAUUGAAAUAGCAAAAAGGCGAACAUAUGGUAUUGAAAUGAAUUUUUUCAUGUGUGCUAUUUCUGUACGAGACAAUAAUUAACCACCAGACAUCGUUGCAAGAACACAGCCUGUUUAGAAUUUUUGUUUGAAACAUUUCAGUAAGAAAAGAAAAGUACAAUCUUAUUAACAAAAGUAACUUACCUGUAAUGUGAAGAUGAUCGUCGAAGACCUUGGGGUACGAAAUUCAAUAAGCUUCAGGGGAAUGGAAACCUACAGACGACUUGGUGCUUAAACGAAAUGAACGGAAAGCGUCGUUAAUUUGGUUUAAACCGAACAAUACUGGCCUCUAACGUGCCUUUUGUUGCUGCUCUUUAUUCGUGGGAACACUCUCGUAACUAGAUUAUCCAUCUGGUCGAGGGGAUUAGUUUCUCAUUACUAAUCAUUUAACGUUGACUGAUACACAAUGAUCAAUUAAUAAUUCACUACAUAAUAUCAUCUUUGUUAAUAUUACAAAUACCUUCACCAGGAUCUGGAAGGUUCAAUGAUAAUCCGGUUUAUCCUUCAGUUAUUAUCUGUGUAAUAUACCUAUGCUCGUUUCACGGAUCAUUAAUCGCUAAUUAUGCCUCAAAUGAUCUGUUUAAAAAUUAAAAACUUGGAAGACUGUGUUACUUUCCAUCCACUUUGCUUUAACAACUAUUUGGAUAGAAUUCUCUUUGAUGAAACUCGAGCUUUCCAAGAUCUCUCUUGAUCUUCCUUCUUCAAAAUUUUAUAUCUCAAGAUGGUAGUUGAUAUCGUUCAGGUAAUACGUUUUCUCAUCUGAUUACAGAUAUUCAGGAAUGAUUCCCAGGGCACGACGAUAUACAUUGAAAUUCUGAAACUUGAUAUGCAAAUUAGGAUCCUCCUUCUUCGUGUAGCCAGUUUCCAUAGGACUGUAUUCCCCGGUAAUUUCGUUCAACGCAGAGCUAAUGGUUUAAUAGGAUCUCUCGAUCGGUUUGUAAUUAAUCAACCCUUGCCUGGAUAAUGAGCUCUUUUCGAAUCCAUCGAUAUCACUCUACUCGAAGACAAUGUCCAACGUUCGCUUUAAGGCCUUAUCGUCCAUCGUUUUGAUAUAAAAGAAAUCCCUUUACUGCCAUUGAAGUAGAUGAAAAGAUUGUGAAAAUCAGGGACAGGAGCAAGGACAAACGAGAGUCGUUUAAAUUUAGCUGAAGCUGUUUGCCCCCCUUUUAAACUGUAUAGAACUGGCGUCGAUGUUGCUUGUACAGGGAAGCCGUUAUCGAUCGUACCCAGCAUUUAUAAAUAAAGAUUUAGCAUUCUGCUGGAAUGUCGAGCGGAAGUAACGCGUUCGAAGAAGUGUGUAAAAUGCGGCUGAAUGAAAAAGGUGAAAGUGCGGUUUACAUGUCGGGUUUCCUCGCAGAGACCAAGCGUGGACACCUGUGACGAUCGGUUUUUCGAGAACCAUCAACGAAUCCUGCGAAUUCGUUCCUUUCGACGAUUUCAAGCAAUUCAUAGAGCAUAAUCUUCUUAAUAUUUUCUUUAAUCCGACGGAUCGAUUUUAAUAUAUUCGUUUUC
Molecule: long non-coding RNA, 5627 nt
Organism: Osmia lignaria (orchard mason bee)
Lineage: Eukaryota; Metazoa; Arthropoda; Insecta; Hymenoptera; Megachilidae
Source: RefSeq, a predicted model, not a curated record